Molecule: ribosomal RNA, 217 nt
Filed under: Chloroflexota bacterium
Lineage: Bacteria; Bacillati; Chloroflexota
Description: Chloroflexi bacterium (hot springs metagenome) partial 16S ribosomal RNA
Rfam family: Bacterial small subunit ribosomal RNA
Source: RNAcentral
CGGAGUUGCUAGUAACCGCAGGUCAGCACACUGCGGUGAAUACGUUCUCGGGCCUUGUACACACCGCCCGUCACGUCAUGGGAGCCGGUAACGCCUGAAGUCGAUGGGCUAACCCGAAAGGGAGGCAGUCGCCGAAGGCGGGACCGGUGACUGGGACGAAGUCGUAACAAGGUAGCCGUACGGGAACGUGCGGCUGGAUCACCUCCUUUCUAAGGAG